GGCGGACGGGUGAGUAACACGUAGGUAACCUGCCCAGAAGCGGGGGACAACAUUUGGAAACAGAUGCUAAUACCGCAUAACAACGUUGUUCGCAUGAACAACGCUUAAAAGAUGGCUUCUCGCUAUCACUUCUGGAUGGACCUGCGGUGCAUUAGCUUGUUGGUGGGGUAACGGCCUACCAAGGCGAUGAUGCAUAGCCGAGUUGAGAGACUGAUCGGCCACAAUGGGACUGAGACACGGCCCAUACUCCUACGGGAGGCAGCAGUAGGGAAUCUUCCACAAUGGGCGCAAGCCUGAUGGAGCAACACCGCGUGAGUGAAGAAGGGUUUCGGCUCGUAAAGCUCUGUUGUUAAAGAAGAACACGUAUGAGAGUAACUGUUCAUACGUUGACGGUAUUUAACCAGAAAGUCACGGCUAACUACGUGCCAGCAGCCGCGGUAAUACGUAGGUGGCAAGCGUUAUCCGGAUUUAUUGGGCGUAAAGAGAGUGCAGGCGGUUUUCUAAGUCUGAUGUGAAA
This 517-nucleotide ribosomal RNA is filed under the name Limosilactobacillus fermentum. RNAcentral's name for it is "bacterial SSU rRNA". It matches the Rfam family "Bacterial small subunit ribosomal RNA", at positions 97 to 599 of the family's 1533-position model. Lineage: Bacteria; Bacillati; Bacillota; Bacilli; Lactobacillales; Lactobacillaceae. The record is from RNAcentral.